GCCAGAGUGUAGUGGUUUGAGUAUUAGACUAUGACUCUGAAGAGCAGGGUUCAAAUCCCUGCUCAGCCA
This 69-nucleotide transfer RNA is filed under the name Phrynosoma platyrhinos (Desert horned lizard). RNAcentral describes it as "tRNA-OTHER". It matches the Rfam family "tRNA". Rfam says of the family: Transfer RNA (tRNA) molecules are approximately 80 nucleotides in length. Their secondary structure includes four short double-helical elements and three loops (D, anti-codon, and T loops). Lineage: Eukaryota; Metazoa; Chordata; Lepidosauria; Squamata; Phrynosomatidae. The record is from RNAcentral.